Molecule: non-coding RNA, 45 nt
Organism: Schistosoma mansoni
Lineage: Eukaryota; Metazoa; Platyhelminthes; Trematoda; Strigeidida; Schistosomatidae
Source: Rfam
AUUCAGCUGACGAGUCCCAAAUGAAACGAAACGCGCGUCCUGGAU